This 520-nucleotide unclassified non-coding RNA is filed under the name uncultured Glomus. RNAcentral describes it as "SSU rRNA". It matches the Rfam family "Eukaryotic small subunit ribosomal RNA", at positions 569 to 1091 of the family's 1831-position model. Lineage: Eukaryota; Fungi; Glomeromycota; Glomeromycetes; Glomerales; Glomeraceae. The record is from RNAcentral.
CGCAGCCGCGGUAAUUCCAGCUCCAAUAGCGUAUAUUAAAGUUGCUGCAGUUAAAAAGCUCGUAGUUGAAUUUCGGGACUAAUAUGUCGGUCGUGCCUCGGUACGUACUGGCUUAUUGGUUUCUCCUUUCUGAAGAACCAUGAUGUCAUUUAUUUGGUGUCGUGGGGAAUCAGGACUGUUACUUUGAAAAAAUUAGAGUGUUUAAAGCAGGCUCACGCUUGAAUACAUUAGCAUGGAAUAACGAAAUAGGACGUUUGAUUCUAUUUUGUUGGUUUCUAGGAUCGACGUAAUGAUUAAUAGGGAUAGUUGGGGGGCAUUAGUAUUCAAUUGUCAGAGGUGAAAUUCUUGGAUUUAUUGAAGACUAACUACUGCGAAAGCAUUUGCCAAGGAUGUUUUCAUUAAUCAAGAACGAAAGUUAGGGAUCGAAGACGAUCAGAUACCGUCGUAGUCUUAACCAUAAACUAUGCCGACUAGGGAUCGGAUGAUGUUAAUUUUUUAAUGUACUCAUUCGGCGCCUUAC